This 253-nucleotide ribosomal RNA is filed under the name uncultured bacterium. RNAcentral describes it as "partial 16S ribosomal RNA". It matches the Rfam family "Bacterial small subunit ribosomal RNA", at positions 524 to 776 of the family's 1533-position model. The record is from RNAcentral.
GACGAACCACACGAACGUUAUUCGGAAUUACUGGGCUUAAAGGGUGCGUAGGCGGCGCAGAAAGUUGGGUGUGAAAUCCCUCGGCUCAACCGAGGAACUGCGCCCAAAACUACUGUGCUUGAGGAAGAUAGAGGUAAGCGGAACUUACGGUGGAGCGGUGAAAUGCGUUGAUAUCGUAAGGAACACCCGUGGCGAAGGCGGUUCUCUGGGACGGUACUGACGCUGAGACGCGAAAGCGUGGGGAGCGAACAGG